Tripterygium wilfordii is the source of this 1050-nucleotide long non-coding RNA. RefSeq lists it as uncharacterized. The record is from RefSeq and is a predicted model, not a curated record. The transcript is spliced from 4 exons. NCBI's taxonomy places the organism in Eukaryota, Viridiplantae, Streptophyta, Magnoliopsida, Celastrales, Celastraceae.
UUAGUUUAGGACUUUUUGUUACUUUCUCGACCUUUCCCGCUCAUCCUCAGCAAACCCUAACUUCUCGAUCUAUGUUUUUUGCUUCCCAUUUUUCUUCUCGAGUCUUCUACUUCCAUUUCAAAGCAUCGAUAUACUGACAAACUCCAAAUAGGUUCAAAUUUUCUGAAAAGAAAUAGAAGUGAGAGAAUGGACGCCAUAGAUUCAGUGUUCAAUCCGCUCAGAGAGUUCGCCAAAGAUAGCUUUUGCCUUGCGAAGAGGUGUCACAAGCCCGAUCUCGAAGGUAUAAGAGUAACUUUCGAUUUUUAUUUCUUCCGAUUGAACGGUUAGUGGUUGCUUCUAGUGUGCUGAUUUGAGUGUGGAUUUUGAGCCUCACGGUGCGUUUUUGUAUUUCGAUGGUGAGAGUUCGCCAAUGACAGCGUUCGCCUUGCGAAGAAGAGGUGCCGCAAGGGUAUUAGAGUAACUUUUCGAUUUUGAUUUCUUCCGAUUGAACGAAUUCAUAAAGUUGGCGUCCCGUAUUGCGAUAGGGUUCGUGGUAUGGGAUUCUUCGUGAAGCUGAUCUUCAUCCUGAUCAACGACAUUAUUGUUGGAUCUCGCUAGAUGAAAUCUUCAAAAUAUGCGAUGUGAGAGGCAGCACAACCAUUGGAGACAUGCUCUGAUGUGAUGUACUAAUCUUCAAGGGCUGUUAAAUGCCAGUUUCCACUGGUGAACAAGGGUAGGCCUAGAGCAAGCAAAUAUGAGAGGAGAUACCAUGGUGCUUUAUAAAGUUCAAAACUCACCCUCACCGGUAUUUUUCGUUCUCCAAAGUUACCUGCCUCUUUCAGCGCAGGUGGUUCUGUCGUAGGUUCUGAAAUUUCUGCACUAUUAUUUACAUGGUUGCAAGUAUUGAUGUGUUCAAAACAUGAUUUCAUCAUGGUUUUAAAUUCCUGCAUUGUGCAAGAAUAAUGCUUCACUAUUUUCCAGUAAUGUGUGUGUAGAAGAACCUUUAUUUUGGAACUCGACUUUUGGGGUUAUAUGCCGAAGUGAUAUAUACACACCUAUUGCGAUUGUAAA